AGAGUUUGAUCCUGGCUCAGGACGAACGCUGGCGGCGUGCUUAACACAUGCAAGUGGAGCGACGAACCAGGGCUUGCCCUGGGGCAAAGCCGCGAACGGGUGAGUAACACGUGGGUAACCCACCCCGAUGAUCGGGACAACCCGGGGAAACUCGGGCUAAUACCGAAUGUGCCUUCAGUUCAUGAGGACUGAAAGUAAAGAUAGCUUCGGCCUUCGCAUCGGGACGGGCCCGCGGCCCAUUAGCUUGUUGGUGAGGUAACGGCUCACCAAGGCGACGAUGGGUAGCUGGUCUGAGAGGACGAUCAGCCACACUGGGACUGAGACACGGCCCAGACUCCUACGGGAGGCAGCAGUGGGGAAUCUUGCACAAUGCGCGAAAGCGUGAUGCAGCAACGCCGCGUGGGGGAAGAAGGCCUUCGGGUUGUAAACCCCUUUCAGUUGGGACGAAGCUUCAGUGGUGAAUAGCCGCUUGGAGUGACGGUACCUUCACAAGAAGCCCCGGCUAACUACGUGCCAGCAGCGGCGGUAAUAC
This 532-nucleotide ribosomal RNA is filed under the name uncultured bacterium. RNAcentral describes it as "bacterial SSU rRNA". It matches the Rfam family "Bacterial small subunit ribosomal RNA", at positions 8 to 526 of the family's 1533-position model. The record is from RNAcentral.